UCACUUUAGCAGUGCAUAUACUAACAUUAAAACAAUACAGAGAAGAUUUGCAUGAUCCCUGAGCAAGGCUAACAUACAAAAUUUGUGAGACAUUCCAUAUAUAU
This 104-nucleotide small nuclear RNA is filed under the name Carlito syrichta (Philippine tarsier). Lineage: Eukaryota; Metazoa; Chordata; Mammalia; Primates; Tarsiidae. The record is from RNAcentral.